Molecule: transfer RNA, 85 nt
Filed under: Desulfobacterales bacterium
Lineage: Bacteria; Pseudomonadati; Thermodesulfobacteriota; Desulfobacteria; Desulfobacterales
Description: tRNA-Leu
Rfam family: tRNA
About the family: Transfer RNA (tRNA) molecules are approximately 80 nucleotides in length. Their secondary structure includes four short double-helical elements and three loops (D, anti-codon, and T loops).
Source: RNAcentral
GCCGAAGUGGUGGAAUUGGUAGACACGCUAUCUUGAGGGGGUAGUGGGAACACCCGUGCCGGUUCAAAUCCGGCCUUCGGCACCA